RNAcentral lists this ribosomal RNA (586 nucleotides) under uncultured bacterium. RNAcentral describes it as "bacterial SSU rRNA". It matches the Rfam family "Bacterial small subunit ribosomal RNA", at positions 338 to 916 of the family's 1533-position model. The record is from RNAcentral.
CCUACGGGAGGCAGCAGUGGGGAAUCUUGCGCAAUGGGCGGAAGCCUGACGCAGCAACGCCGCGUGCGGGAAGAAGGCCUUAGGGUCGUAAACCGCUUUCAGGGGGGACGAAGCUUCCGGGGUUAAUAGCCUACGGGGUGACGGUACUCCCAAAAGAAGGUCCGGCUAACUACGUGCCAGCAGCCGCGGUAAUACGUAGGGACCGAGCGUUGUCCGGAAUCAUUGGGCGUAAAGAGCGUGUAGGCGGCCUAGUAGGUCUCGUGUGAAAUCCCGCGGCUCAACCGCGGACACGCACGGGAAACCCCUAGGCUCGAGUCCGGAAGAGGAGAGCGGAAUUCCUGGUGUAGCGGUGAAAUGCGCAGAUAUCAGGAAGAACACCCGUAGCGAAGGCGGCUCUCUGGGACGGUACUGACGCUGAGACGCGAAAGCGUGGGGAGCAAACAGGAUUAGAUACCCUGGUAGUCCACGCCGUAAACGAUGGAUGCUAGGUGUGGGAGGUGUCGACUCCUCCCGUGCCGAAGCUAACGCAUUAAGCAUCCCGCCUGGGGAGUACGGCCGCAAGGCUAAAACUCAAAUGAAUUGACGG